GGCCGUGUAGCUCAGUGGAUAGAGCGGAACUUUCCUAAGGUUCAGGUCCAAGGUUCGACCCCUUGCUCGGUCG
Molecule: transfer RNA, 73 nt
Filed under: Pleodorina starrii
Lineage: Eukaryota; Viridiplantae; Chlorophyta; Chlorophyceae; Chlamydomonadales; Volvocaceae
Rfam family: tRNA
About the family: Transfer RNA (tRNA) molecules are approximately 80 nucleotides in length. Their secondary structure includes four short double-helical elements and three loops (D, anti-codon, and T loops).
Source: Rfam by way of RNAcentral